Molecule: small nucleolar RNA, 77 nt
Organism: Hydra vulgaris (swiftwater hydra)
Lineage: Eukaryota; Metazoa; Cnidaria; Hydrozoa; Anthoathecata; Hydridae
Product: small nucleolar RNA SNORD34
Source: RefSeq, a predicted model, not a curated record
AAAGAGCAUUGAUGAUUAUAUAUUUUUUUACCUACAUUGUUUGAUUUUAAAUGAUAAUAACAAGUUCUGAGCUCUCA